Molecule: ribosomal RNA, 441 nt
Filed under: uncultured bacterium
Lineage: Bacteria
Description: partial 16S ribosomal RNA
Rfam family: Bacterial small subunit ribosomal RNA
Source: RNAcentral
CCUACGGGGGGCAGCAGUGGGGGAUAUUGCACAUUGGGGGGAACCCUGAUGCAGCGACGCCGCGUGGGUGAAGGAGCGUUUCGGCGCGUAAAGCCCUAUCGGCAGGGAAGCAGGAGGACGGUACCUGACUAAGAAGCCCCGGCUCACUACGUGCCAGCAGCCGCGGUAAUCCGUAGGGGGCAAGCGUUAUCCGGAUUUACUGGUGGUAAUGGGGGCGCAGACGGCAGCGCAAGCCAGGAGUGAAAGCCCGGGGGCCAACGCCGGGACUGCUCUUGGAACUGCGCGGCUGGAGUGCAGGAGGGGCAGGCGGAAUGCCUGGGGUAGCGGUGAAAUGAGUAGAUAUCAGGAGGAACACCGGUUGCGAAGGCGGCCUGCUGGACUGCGACUGACGUUGAGGCCCGAAAGCGUGGGGAGCAAACAGGAUUAGAUACCCCGGUAGUC